This 6430-nucleotide long non-coding RNA is filed under the name Sus scrofa (pig). Its description in RNAcentral is "lncRNA (ENSSSCG00000051945.1)". Lineage: Eukaryota; Metazoa; Chordata; Mammalia; Artiodactyla; Suidae. The record is from RNAcentral.
AUUUCCCCCAAUCCCAUGGAGCUCCUGUGCACAAGCCCUGCUGGCCUUCAAUUCCAAAUGCUCUGGGGCUUCUCUUCACAAUGCCAGACCCCCAGUCAUGGGAACAUGAUUUGGGACUCAGAACUCUCACUCCUAUGGGUGACCCUCUGCAAUAUACUUAUUUUAUGUCUGCGGGUUGCCCAUACAGUGGGUAUGAGCUUGCUUAUAUUGUGUUAGCACCCCUCCAACUGUCUCAGUGUUGCUUCUUCUUUGGUUUUUGGUGUAGGAUAUCUUUUUUGGUAGUUUCCAGUCUACUCUGCUGAUGGUUGUUCAGCAGUUGGUUGUAAUUUUGUUGUUUUUGUAAGAGAAGGUAAGCUCCAGUCUUUCUACUCCACCAAUUUAUUCUUGUCUCUCUUCUCUACUUAUUCAAAAUAAUCAUUGCAUAAUUCAUGUUAUCAAAUACAGUGAUGAGUAUGAGGACAGGAGAAGGUAAAGGGAAUUAAAACAAUUUGGUAGAGAAAUGUAUUUUUGGUUUUACAGAGAUGUAAUACAUUCAUUCUUUCAUACACCUGUGACCUUUUGAAAUGUCAAGACAUUGAGAAAAUACUCUUAUCAGUUUCCUCUUUUAAAAGUACAUUAUUCAAGAAUAUGCAAAUUUGUCCAAAGAUAUAGCUAUAAUGAAAAGCCAUUUUUUCAUAGAUAGUAGACAUUAAUUAAUAACCAGUGAACUAUAAGGAUCCCUUUAAAUAAUUGAUAGGAGUUAAAGUUUUAUAUUCUUGGAGAAAAUGUAGCACAAAUUGGUUUUGAUGGGUUAGAUGACCCUGUAAAUGACGCCAUGCGACUAUUGUACUUAGGAAAAGCUUUCUCUCUUUUUUUUCAUCCCUUUGGAUAUAAUAAUUACCCCCUCCCACUUUUGACCUCUGGCUUUAACAUAAAAAUAAUCUACAAAACAGGGUUGGUGUUGACUCUUUGUUUCUCUUUUCUUUUCUUUUCUUUUUUUAGUUGGAUGGUUUCCAUUUGUUUUAUGCUUGAGUACUUUUCUUUUUAGUUUUUGUGAAUGUAAUGUUUGGUUUUGAUUUGUGGUUGCCCUGUUUUUUAAGUAUGUUAACCCCUUCCUUUAUCUGCUUAGUUUAGCCUGAUAGUCAUAUAGAUUCAAACAUAUCAUUAAAAUAAAAAAUAUAUAUUUUCUUACUUUCUUUCCCCACAAUCUAUGAUUUUGAUGUCUUUCUUUUUCAACAUUUUCAUGUUUAGAUCUUUAUGUGGGCUUAUUUAAGUGAUUGCUUUCCAAUUGUGGUUUCCUCCAUCCUAAUUCUUAAUUUUUUUUUUAAUUUAGAGGAGCAAUUUCAGCAUUUCUUUUAGAAUGGGUUUAAUAUUGCUAUACUCUUUUAGCUUUUGUUUGUUGGAGAAAUACUUUAUUUCCCCUUCUAUUUUAAAUGAUAUUCUUGUUGAAUAGAGUAUUCUAGGUUGCAGAUUUUAUCCUUUCAGCACUUUAAAUAUAUCUUGCCACUGCCUUCUCGUCUGUAGUGUUUCUGUAGAGAAAUCAGCUGAUAUCCUUAUGGGAGUUCCCUUAUAAAUAACGCUUUGCUUUCCUCUUGUUGCCUUUAGAAUCCUCUCUUUAACUAUUGCCAUUUUUAUUAUAAUAUGUCUUGGUGUGGGCCUGUUUGGUUUCAACUUGCUUGGGGCCCUCUGUGCUUCCUGUAUCUUGAACUCAGUACCCUUUAGAUUUAGAAAGUUUUCAGCCAUAACUUUUUCAAAUAUAUUUUCAAUACCUUUUUAUUUUUCUUUCCCUUCUGGAAUUCCUAUUAUGUGUAGAUUGGCCUGCUUUACAUUAUCCCAUAUGUCUCUUAUAUUGUUUUCAUGUCUUUUCAUUUGGUUUUCUGUACGCUGUCCUGAUUGGGUGUCACUAAUUCAUUCCUCUGCAUUAUUCAUUCUGGUCUUUAUUGACUUUAGCUCAGUUUGCAUCUCUGCAAAUGAAUGUUCUAGUUUUUCUUGGCUCCUCCUUAUAUUUUCUAGUUCCUUUCUAGAGGAAUCUGCAUUACUGUUCAUAUCCUCUCUUAAUUCCUUCAGUAUUUUCACUAUCUCCCUUUUGAACUCAAUGUCUGUCAGACUGCAGAAGUCUGUUUCAUUGUUGACUGCUUUAGGUGAAUUCCCCUGUUCCUUUAACUGUGAAUGGUAUCUGAGCUUCUUAUUCUUGCUUGUGUUUUCCUUUUUCUGUGAAUUUGGGGAAGCCAAACUGUAGUCUUGUAAGGCUAUUUCUAUGCCAGAGUACCUCUUUGUAUUUUUUGGUGGGUUACUAUUUAUUUUUGGUGUGGGAAUUUGAAUAUUUGCUGUCUCUUUCUUCAGUGUGAGUAGGCUGUUGUUCCCAGGAUGCUCAGUGAGUUUUCAGGGAGAGGGAGGCAAUGGGUAGGGCCAGCAGUCAGCACCUGGUUGUUGGGCUCUCAACAGCAGGAAGGACCUGCAGGAAGGUGGCACAAGCUACUCCUAUUUACAGGACCCUGGGAAGUGGUAAUGAGCUCUCGGCAGAUCUACAAGGUGACCAAAGAAUUUGGCAGUAGCAGCAGCAGCGUGCAUGAGUUCCCAGAGGAGUGAGAGCAACAACAGCUUGUGCUGGAUUGCAAUGCCCUCCUCUGAGGUGAUCGGAACUACAGGUGGUGCCCGUUCAGUGACCCCUAGUGGUAGCAGGCCAUGACUGCCUCUGGAGUCAGUGAUAGCUGUGGUGGUUUGCCCCCACCACCUGUAGACCCAUAUGACUUAGGAGGUGCUGUACAGGCUGCUCCUAGUUGCAGGAUUCUCGGAAGUGACAGAGAUCAGGUGUGCAGGUAUUGCCCAGAGCAAUUGGCAGUGUCAGUAGCAGGGCGGUUGUGUUCCCAGGAGUACAAGAGUACCAACAGGUGGUGUUCAGUCACAAUGCCCUCCUCUGUGGUGCGCCUGAGGUGAAUGGGGCUGCAAGUGGUGUCUGUUUAUGGACCCCUGGUGGUGGUGAGCCACUCCCACCUCUGGAUCCAGAGAUAACUGUGGUGAUUUGCCCUUACCUCCUGUAGACCAUGCCAAAAGCACCUUGUCCUGCUUAGUCCCCACAGGAAGUGCUGCACAAGCUGCUCCUAGUUGCAGGUUUCUGGGAAGGGAAAUAUCAAAUUAUAUUAGAGUACCAGAUGUGCAUUUGGUGUUCAUUAGAAUAAGAAAAUGAUGAAUUUUUCCUGUAAAGUUUUUAAUUGUUUCUUGAAUUUCAAUAAGAAAAUAUUCAUUUACUUGCCAAUAAAUGUCCUGUAAAAAAAAAUCUAAAUUUUAUAUCAAAACAGAAGUUGAUAAAGGAGGAAAAUAUUACAUUUUUUCACAAAUGUUUUGUAAAAUAUACUGAUGCAUGUAUGUUUUAGUAAUACUGCUAUAUCAGGAACUUGACUAGAACCUUGUACUAAAAGCUGGAAUGUUAUACUAAUUUUGCUUAACUUAAAAGAAAACAUUUAUUUCAUAAUGAGGUAAGAGAUAAAAUCAAAGAAUUCCAGUAGCUCAAAUUCAGCUAUUACUGACCCUACAAUUUUCUUAAAACUAUUAACCUAGAAAAGUAGUAUAUUUUCAGAGUCAAAGUAAUAUUCAAUUAUAUUCCAAUUCCAGAUAUAUUACAUAUGUAUAUAUUUUGCCAUUAAAUAGACUUUGUGGAAAACAUAGUCUAAUAUAGUCCACCAUCAUCUCUCCCUUGUGUUCAAAUCAUAGUGUAAUCCACUCUCCCUGAGCAUGGGUGGGACCUGUGACUUGCCUCUAGUGAAGAGAAUAUGACAGAAGUGCGGAACUGUCACUCCCAAGAUUACAUUAUGUGAGCAGCUUCUAGCAUCGGAGGGCAGGUUCCAGUCAAUAGCUAGCAAGAAUGUGGGACCAACAGUCCUACAAAAGCAAAGAAAUUAAUUCUGACAACACCCAAAGGGAGAUUGAAAGUGGAUUUUUUUCCCCAUUUGUUCCUCUAACUCAGAACAGCUGAUAUCUUGAUUGCAUCUCUGUGAAACUUUAAGGAGAAGACCUACUAAACAACACCCAGAUUCCUGGCCUGCAGAAAUUGUAAGCUAAUAAAUGUGCAUUGAUUUCAGUUGCAAAGUGUAUGGUUAUUUGUUUUGAAUCAAAAAGAAUAAUAAAAAACUAAACAAAAUAAUUAAAUAAAAAUUUCUAUACUGCUGGCUUUUGGCAAUCUACUGAGCAAAUUUGUGCUACUUUUUUUUUUUUUUUGAAAAGAUUUAAGCAUUUUACUCACUUGCUCAAAUAACAUCUAUGAAUUUCAGCCCACGACUGAUUUACACAACAUCUGUACUACAUGGCCAUAAAUAAGCAAAUACCACACAUGCAUUCUUAACAAAACUUUUCUGCUUCUAUUUAGCAUCUUAAUAUAUAGGAGAAAAGAUUAACACUUUUUCAUAAAAACUUAAGCUGCAUUAGGAGAGCAAAUUAUGCUUUACUUUUCAAUAUUACAGUACAUUUUUCUCUAUUAACUUGGGCUUUGACUGGUUAUUUCUGAAAUAUAGUCUGUGAUUUUUAGAAAGCUCUCUAAUUCUUAUUAAGGAAAUAAUAAAUCUCUAUGUUAUCACUACUUUAAUUUUUAAAGUCAGUGCUCCAUAAAAAUGUAUUAAAAGUAAAGACGUGUAAAUUAGUCUGGGAUCAUUCUUUCCUUGAUGCCAUUUGCUUAUUGUAACUAGCAUAAAUGAAAAUCCAGACGUACUGCCACACUUUGUAAAUGUAGCAUAUUGUAGUGUCCUUCCAAAAUCAUUUUUAAUGGGGAUACAUUUUAUAGAAACUGCACAAACUUCUUAAGUUUUAAAAAGAAAACUUUUCAAAGUUUCUGAAAACAGAAAAAUCAGUAGUUUUAAUAUAUUAAAAUUUCUUAAAGCACUAGAGACUGAUAAGAAUGCUUCUAAUAUCACCAUCUUCCCAAACCCUAUUUCCAGAGCUGUAGCUAAGGUGAUUGUGUUUUUUUUUUUUCCCUAUUUCAUUAUGGAGUUUGUUUUCAAGACACCAAACAAAUUUUAACAUUCAUCACUGUACCCUAUUUCCUUUUACCUAAAUGCCCUUUAUUACAAAAUGGAUACAUUUUAUUUUAAUGUUUUGGGUAGCAAAAGCAUAAAUCUGAAUACCACUCCUCUCUUCACUCACUGUUCCUUCAUUCUCAGCAUAGAUGAGCCAGGAUUUAGGCACCACACCAGGAUUUACUGCUUCAAAAACAUGGGUUUGUUCUAACCAUGUAAUAGCACACAGGAAAAAGCAAGCAAGUAUAAAAUAUUAUUCACUUAUGUCUUAUGAACCCAGGAAGGAAUUAUGAUAAACAAAACUUUAUUUAGAAUCAGAUAGACCUACAUAUAAAUCAUCUUACAACCAUACUAAUUGUGUUACCUGGAAAAUUGACAUAUCACUAUUAUCCCCCUUAGCAUAUUUGUUGUGAAAUGUAAACAAGAAAAUCAGAAAACCUAUUUAAAAUUGCUUACAUAUUAUAAAGAAUCAUUAUUUUAUGAGUUCCUGUCAUGGCUCAGUGGGUUAAGAACCUGAUACAUAUCCAUGAGGAUGAGGGUUCAAUCUCUGGCCUCACUCAGUGUGUCAAGGAUCUGGCAUUGCUGCAAACUGAAGCAUAGGUUCUGGAUGCAGCUUGGAUCUGGUGUUGCUGUUGCUGUUGCUGUGAUUCAACCCCUAGCCUGGGAACUUCCAUAAGCCACAGGUGCAGCCCUAAAAAGAUAGAAAAAAAUAUGUUAUAUAACUAUAUAUCCUUAUGUUAUAUAACUAUAUACCCUUUAUGUUAUAUAACUAUAUACCCUUAAGUCAAAAGUAGAGAUAAAGAACUGUGUUUUCCUAUUUAAUAAAAUCAGUAUUUUAUUUCCUGUGGCUCUAUCAGCUGCAUCUCAAGCUAUCUUUUCCUCCUUAAUUUGUCCAUUAAGGAACAUUCUCAUAGAGUGUUACUUAUCAAGUCUAUUCCAAUUAUAGAAUUUAUUUGCCUUUUAGGAUAUCUUUCCCUGUUUCCAUACCACUGAACAUAGUACAAGCAAGAGACACCUCAGUAAUUUUCCUAGGUUUCCUAUGUACUCCUUCCUGUUCUUUAUUGUGUAGUAGAAGUCAAAAUACUCAUGGUAAUCAGUGUCAAUCAUCCCUAUAAAUUUGAUAUUUUUUUUCUUAUGUGCUGGUAAGAGCAUAAACUGAUCAUCUUCAUUUCAAGUUAAGAAGAACCUUUAAAUGUGUCUCCUGAUAAGAGUGCCUCUCAGGAGUUCCCAUUGUGAUGCAGUGGAAAUGAAUAUGACUAGUAUCCAUGAGGAUGUGGGUUUGAUCCCUGGCCUUGUUCUGUGGGUCAGGAAUCCAGCAUUGCCAUGGGCUGUGGUGUGACAGGUGCAGCUCAGAUCCUGCAUUGGUGUGGAUGUUGGGUAGGUCAGCAGCUAUAGCUCCAAUUUGAUCCCUAACCUGGGAACUUCCAUAUACCACAAGUGCAGCC